AGGAUGGGUGACCUCCCGG
RNAcentral lists this small nuclear RNA (19 nucleotides) under Arabidopsis thaliana (thale cress). Its description in RNAcentral is "snRNA_07695". The record is from RNAcentral. Lineage: Eukaryota; Viridiplantae; Streptophyta; Magnoliopsida; Brassicales; Brassicaceae.